RNAcentral lists this ribosomal RNA (759 nucleotides) under uncultured bacterium. RNAcentral describes it as "bacterial SSU rRNA". It matches the Rfam family "Bacterial small subunit ribosomal RNA", at positions 8 to 736 of the family's 1533-position model. The record is from RNAcentral.
AGAGUUUGAUCCUUCCUCAGGACGAACGCUGGCGGCGUGCCUAACACAUGCAAGUCGAACGGAGAAUUUCAAUAAGCUUGCUUAACGAAAUUUUUAGUGUCCCACGGGUGAGUAACGCGUGGGUAAUCUACCCAUAAACCCGGGACAACCCUUGGAAACGAGGGCUAAUACCGGAUAAUCUUAAGGCUUGGCAUCAAGCUUUAAGAAAAGGUGGCCUCUGAAAAUGCUACCGAUUAUGGAUGGACCCGCGUCUGAUUAGCUAGUUGGUGGGGUAAAGGCCUACCAAGGCGACGAUCAGUAGCCGGCCUGAGAGGGUGAACGGCCACACUGGGACUGAGACACGGCCCAGACUCCUACGGGAGGCAGCAGUGGGGAAUCUUCCGCAAUGGACGAAAGUCUGACGGAGCAACGCCGCGUGUAUGAUGAAGGUCUUCGGAUUGUAAAGUACUGUCUUUGGGGAAGAACGGUAAUCUCGAAAAUAUUGAGGUUACAUGACGGUACCCAAGGAGGAAGCCCCGGCUAACUACGUGCCAGCAGCCGCGGUAAUACGUAGGGGGCAAGCGUUGUCCGGAAUUAUUGGGCGUAAAGGGCGCGUAGGCGGAUGUUUAAGUCCGGUGUGAAAGAUCAGGGCUCAACCCUGAGAGUGCAUCGGAAACUGGUUAUCUUGAGGACAGGAGAGGAAAGUGGAAUUCCACGUGUAGCGGUGAAAUGCGUAGAUAUGUGGAGGAACACCAGUGGCGAAGGCGACUUUCUGGACUG